RNAcentral lists this ribosomal RNA (1069 nucleotides) under Ophiocordyceps aphrophoridarum. RNAcentral's name for it is "SSU rRNA". It matches the Rfam family "Eukaryotic small subunit ribosomal RNA", at positions 47 to 1131 of the family's 1831-position model. The record is from RNAcentral. Lineage: Eukaryota; Fungi; Ascomycota; Sordariomycetes; Hypocreales; Ophiocordycipitaceae.
AACCUUCCAUGUCUAGUAUAGCAAUUAUACAGCGAAACUGCGAAUGGCUCAUUAUAUAAGUUAUCGUUUAUUUGAUAGUGCCUUACUACUUGGAUAACCGUGGUAAUUCUAGAGCUAAUACAUGCUAAAACGCUCGACUUCGGAAGGGUUGUAUUUAUUAGAUUAAAAACCAAUGCCCUCUGGGCUCACUGGUGAUUCAUAAUAACUUCGCGAAUCGCAUGGCCUUGCGCCGGCGAUGGCUCAUUCAAAUUUCUUCCCUAUCAACUUUCGAUGUUUGGGUAGUGGCCAAACAUGGUUGCAACGGGUAACGGAGGGUUAGGGCUCGACCCCGGAGAAGGAGCCUGAGAAACGGCUACUACAUCCAAGGAAGGCAGCAGGCGCGCAAAUUACCCAAUCCCGAUUCGGGGAGGUAGUGACAAUAAAUACUGAUACAGGGCUCUUUUGGGUCUUGUAAUUGGAAUGAGUACAAUUUAAAUCCCUUAACGAGGAACAAUUAGAGGGCAAGUCUGGUGCCAGCAGCCGCGGUAAUUCCAGCUCUAAUAGCGUAUAUUAAAGUUGUUGUGGUUAAAAAGCUCGUAGUUGAACCUUGGGCCUGGCUGGCAGGUCCGCCUCACCGCGUGUACUUUGCCGGCCGGGCCUUUCCCUCUGUGGAACCCCAUGCCCUUCACUGGGUGUGGCGGGGAAACAGGACUUUUACUUUGAAAAAAUUAGAGUGCUCCAGGCAGGCCUAUGCUCGAAUACAUUAGCAUGGAAUAAUAAAAUAGGACGUGUGGUUCUAUUUUGUUGGUUUCUAGGACCGCCGUAAUGAUUAAUAGGGACAGUCGGGGGCAUCAGUAUUCAAUUGUCAGAGGUGAAAUUCUUGGAUUUAUUGAAGACUAACUACUGCGAAAGCAUUUGCCAAGGAUGUUUUCAUUAAUCAGGAACGAAAGUUAGGGGAUCGAAGACGAUCAGAUACCGUCGUAGUCUUAACCAUAAACUAUGCCGACUAGGGAUCGGACGAUGUUAUUACUUGACUCGUUCGGCACCUUACGAGAAAUCAAAGUGCUUGGCUCCAGGGGAGUAGCGACUG